Molecule: long non-coding RNA, 1167 nt
Filed under: Homo sapiens (human)
Lineage: Eukaryota; Metazoa; Chordata; Mammalia; Primates; Hominidae
Description: HSALNT0106459
Source: RNAcentral
CGGGCCACUAGCCAGUCCACUGGGGACAUCCCUCAGAGAGGGGAGGGGAGGGAGAGACAGGGCGGACACCCAGGCUGGCACACUGUGGCCAGCCACCCGGCUCCACUGACUGGCGGUUUCGUGUCUGGCUCCCUGAGGUCCAGAUGGUCCCAACACGUCCCUGGGGGGUAAGCAGACUCCUGCCCAAACUUGAACUCACAGCUCCAGCCCCCAGAGGCUCCGAGCCAGGACCCCAAAGGAGGGAGAGCUGGCCCCAUGGACUGCCUCACCCUGGCUCUCCUGCCCUGUGGCUUCUGGUUGAAUUCAGCCAAUGGGAGGCACCAGCAGAUAAUCUGAAGAUGGGAGGAGAGAGAGGCACCUCCAGCAACCUUGCUAGACCACAGUGCGGUGGGAGGAAGUCCCAUGAAGAAAUAAAGAACAUGUGGUGAAUCACAGAGAAGUGGCUGAAAAGAUUCAAGCCUCAACCUUGGUCCUCCCUAGUCACAUGACCACAGGCAAACCUCUUCUCUCUCAGCCUCAGUUUUUGCAUCAGUGCAAUAGGAAUGGUAUCUGCCAUGCUAACCUCACAGGACUGCUGUGUGUUCAGAUGAAUCAGGUAUGUGAAAGACACUUCUGCAAGCGGGAAAGAGGUGUGCAAAGGCAAUUUGCUUUUACAGAACUUAUAUUACUGUCAUUUCCCAUCGUUAUUUUAAUGCUCAAAAGGUUUGGGAGACAUUUCUGUAACUGAGGUGUUCAUGGUAAGCCCACACUCACUCCUGCUUGGAAAAGGUUUUACAUAGACUGAGGAGACCUGAGGCAGUUGCUGAGCUGCUUAGAACAGAGUCUCUGGGUCACAGCCAUCCCAUUACUGGGCAUAUCCCCAAAGGAUUGUAAAUCAUGCUGCUAUAAAGACACAUGCACACGUAUGUUUAUUGCAGCACUAUUCACAACAGCAAAGACUUGGAACCAACCCAAAUGUCCAUCAAUGAUAGACUGGAUUAAGAAAAUGUGGCACAUAUACACCAUGGAAUACUAUGCAGCCAUAAAAAAGGAUGAAUUCAUGUCCUUUGUAGGGACAUGGAUGAAGCUGGAAACCAUCAUUCUGAGCAAACUAUCGCAAGGACAGAAAACCAAACACUGCAUGCUCUCACUCAUGGGUGGGAAUUGAACAAUGAGAACACAUGGACA